This 506-nucleotide ribosomal RNA is filed under the name uncultured bacterium. RNAcentral's name for it is "partial 16S ribosomal RNA". It matches the Rfam family "Bacterial small subunit ribosomal RNA", at positions 29 to 523 of the family's 1533-position model. The record is from RNAcentral.
AGUGAACGCUGGCGGUAGGCCUAACACAUGCAAGUCGAACGGCAGCACAGGAGAGCUUGCUCUCUGGGUGGCGAGUGGCGGACGGGUGAGGAAUACAUCGGAAUCUACUCUGUCGUGGGGGAUAACGUAGGGAAACUUACGCUAAUACCGCAUACGACCUACGGGUGAAAGCAGGGGAUCUUCGGACCUUGCGCGAUUGAAUGAGCCGAUGUCGGAUUAGCUAGUUGGCGGGGUAAAGGCCCACCAAGGCGACGAUCCGUAGCUGGUCUGAGGUGAGUAUCAGCCCAACGGGAACUGAGACAUGGUCCAGACUCCUACGGGAGGCAGCAGUGGGGAAUAUUGGACAAUGGGCGCAAGCCUGAUCCAGCCAUACCGCGUGGGUGAAGAAGGCCUUCGGGUUGUAAAGCCCUUUUGUUGGGAAAGAAAUCCAGCUGGCUAAUACCCGGUUGGGAUGACGGUACCCAAAGAAUAAGCACCGGCUAACUUCGUGCCAGCCGCCGCCGUAA